AAAAAAAAAAAAAAAAAGGAAGUUAUGUUCUGCCGUAUCAGUGGAAACCCCCAAUUAAGUUUGUGCAUUGUUGGCAGUUUGCAAUUAAAUUACUCCAUUGUGAUUUGACACUUAAUUAAUGCGUAUUUUGUCUAUAUUUUUCUCGUUAUUGAAUUAUCUUCUUAUUUCUCCCCUGUUUUUUGUUUUGUAGUCUUUUAUGUGUCCUUCAGGGA
Molecule: unclassified non-coding RNA, 212 nt
Filed under: Hevea brasiliensis (rubber tree)
Lineage: Eukaryota; Viridiplantae; Streptophyta; Magnoliopsida; Malpighiales; Euphorbiaceae
Source: RNAcentral